GCAGUCGAGCGGCAGCACAAGUGAGUUUACUCACUGAGGUGGCGAGCGGCGGACGGGUGAGUAAUGCCUAGGGAUCUGCCCAGUCGAGGGGGAUAACAGUUGGAAACGACUGCUAAUACCGCAUACGCCCUACGGGGGAAAGAGGGGGACUUUCGGGCCUCUCGCGAUUGGAUGAACCUAGGUGGGAUUAGCUAGUUGGUGAGGUAAUGGCUCACCAAGGCGACGAUCCCUAGCUGUUCUGAGAGGAUGAUCAGCCACACUGGGACUGAGACACGGCCCAGACUCCUACGGGAGGCAGCAGUGGGGAAUAUUGCACAAUGGGGGAAACCCUGAUGCAGCCAUGCCGCGUGUGUGAAGAAGGCCUUCGGGUUGUAAAGCACUUUCAGUAGGGAGGAAAGGGUAAGUCUUAAUACGGCUUAUCUGUGACGUUACCUACAGAAGAAGGACCGGCUAACUCCGUGCCAGCAGCCGCGGUAAUACGGAGGGUCCGAGCGUUAAUCGGAAUUACUGGGCGUAAAGCGUGCGCAGGCGGUUUGUUAAGCGAGAUGUGAAAGCCCUGGGCUCAACCUAGGAAUAGCAUUUCGAACUGACAAACUAGAGUCUUGUAGAGGGGGGUAGAAUUCCAGGUGUAGCGGUGAAAUGCGUAGAGAUCUGGAGGAAUACCGGUGGCGAAGGCGGCCCCCUGGACAAAGACUGACGCUCAUGCACGAAAGCGUGGGGAGCAAACAGG
This 730-nucleotide ribosomal RNA is filed under the name Shewanella sp. YIM136. Its description in RNAcentral is "bacterial SSU rRNA". It matches the Rfam family "Bacterial small subunit ribosomal RNA", at positions 57 to 776 of the family's 1533-position model. The record is from RNAcentral. Lineage: Bacteria; Pseudomonadati; Pseudomonadota; Gammaproteobacteria; Alteromonadales; Shewanellaceae.